Molecule: ribosomal RNA, 255 nt
Filed under: uncultured bacterium
Lineage: Bacteria
Description: partial 16S ribosomal RNA
Rfam family: Bacterial small subunit ribosomal RNA
Source: RNAcentral
UACGUAGGGGGCAAGCGUUGUCCGGAAUUAUUGGGCGUAAAGAGCGUGUAGGCGGCCAGAAAAGUCCGCUGUGAAAACUCGAGGCUCAACUUCGAGCUGUCGGUGGAAACUUUCUGGCUAGAGUCCGGAAGAGGAGAAUGGAAUUCCUGGUGUAGCGGUGAAAUGCGCAGAUAUCAGGAAGAACACCCGUGGCGAAGGCGGUUCUCUGGGACGGUACUGACGCUGGAGACGCGAAAGCCGUGGGGAGCGAACAGG